CCUACGGGACGCAGCAGUGGGGAAUAUUGCACAAUGGGGGGAACCCUGAUGCAGCAACGCCGCGUGAGUGAAGAAGGUUUUCGGAUUGUAAAGCUCUGUUAGCAGGGAAGAGGAAGGACGGUACCUGCAGAGGAAGCCACGGCUAACUACGUGCCAGCAGCCGCGGUAAUACGUAGGGAGCGAGCGUUGUCCGGAAUUACUGGGUGUAAAGGGAGCGUAGGCGGGGAUGCAAGUUGGGUGUCAAAACUACCG
Molecule: ribosomal RNA, 252 nt
Filed under: uncultured bacterium
Lineage: Bacteria
Description: partial 16S ribosomal RNA
Rfam family: Bacterial small subunit ribosomal RNA
Source: RNAcentral